This 430-nucleotide ribosomal RNA is filed under the name Fusarium nurragi. RNAcentral's name for it is "partial large subunit ribosomal RNA". It matches the Rfam family "Eukaryotic large subunit ribosomal RNA", at positions 116 to 557 of the family's 3401-position model. The record is from RNAcentral. Lineage: Eukaryota; Fungi; Ascomycota; Sordariomycetes; Hypocreales; Nectriaceae.
UGAAAUCUGGCUUUCGGGCCCGAGUUGUAAUUUGUAGAGGAUACUUUUGAUGCGGUGCCUUCCGAGUUCCCUGGAACGGGACGCCAUAGAGGGUGAGAGCCCCGUCUGGUUGGAUGCCAAAUCUCUGUAAAGUUCCUUCAACGAGUCGAGUAGUUUGGGAAUGCUGCUCUAAAUGGGAGGUAUAUGUCUUCUAAAGCUAAAUAUUGGCCAGAGACCGAUAGCGCACAAGUAGAGUGAUCGAAAGAUGAAAAGCACUUUGAAAAGAGAGUUAAAAAGUACGUGAAAUUGUUGAAAGGGAAGCGUUUAUGACCAGACUUGGACUUGGUUAAUCAUCUGGGGUUCUCCCCAGUGCACUUUUCCAGUUCAGGCCAGCAUCAGUUUUCGCCGGGGGAUAAAGGCAGCGGGAAUGUGGCUCUCUUCGGGGAGUGUU